Molecule: unclassified non-coding RNA, 232 nt
Filed under: Hevea brasiliensis (rubber tree)
Lineage: Eukaryota; Viridiplantae; Streptophyta; Magnoliopsida; Malpighiales; Euphorbiaceae
Source: RNAcentral
AAAGAGAAAUAAGAUGUUCUUAAUUUGCUCUGUGACUCCAUAAUGGGAGAGUAAGUAAUAAAACGAAAAUAAAAGAUUUCUUCUGGUUCAAUUAAGUAGAAGACUUAAGUUUCCCUGAUUGUUCUGGAUUUCAAUUGCAAUUUGAUGUUUUUGGUUUGUUUUGUAGGCUUCUGUGGCUGAUCUGCAGGAGGCAAUUUAUAAGCGAACUAAAAAAUUCUACCCUUCAAGACAG